AAUAAAGUAGUAUAAGGGCAAUGCACAAAUCAUGGAUUGGGAUGUACGUUCGAAUCGUACCUUUAUC
Molecule: transfer RNA, 67 nt
Filed under: Spongilla lacustris
Lineage: Eukaryota; Metazoa; Porifera; Demospongiae; Spongillida; Spongillidae
Description: tRNA-His
Source: RNAcentral